This 495-nucleotide ribosomal RNA is filed under the name uncultured bacterium. RNAcentral describes it as "bacterial SSU rRNA". It matches the Rfam family "Bacterial small subunit ribosomal RNA", at positions 355 to 851 of the family's 1533-position model. The record is from RNAcentral.
UGAGUAAUAUUGAGCAAUGGGGGAAACCCUGCAGCAGCCACGCCGGGGGCCGGAAGACGGCCCUAUGGGUUGUAAACGGCUUUUGAUUGGGAAGAAGUCCCGGGUUUGGGCGUGGUUUGACAGUACCAUAGGAAUAAGCACCGGCUAACUCGGUGCCAGCAGCCGUGGUAAUACGGAGGGUGCAAGCGUUGUCAGGAAUCAUUGGGUGUAAAGGGUGCGUAGGCUGGCAUUUAAGUCUGGGGUGAAAUCUUGCCGCUUAACGGUAAAAUUGCCUUGGAUACUGGAUGUAGUGAAUGAGAGAGAGGUGGGUGGAAUUGGGGGUGUAGCGGUGAAAUGCAUAGAUAUCGGGAAACACAUCAGUGGCGAGGGCGUCCGGGCGGGUCAGUAUUGACGGUGAGGCAAGAGAGCGUGGGGAACAAACAGGAUUAGAUCCCCUGGUAGUCCACGCUGUAAACGAUGUAUGCUAGUUGUGGGCCUUCGGGUUCAGUGACGCAG